Molecule: long non-coding RNA, 256 nt
Filed under: Homo sapiens (human)
Lineage: Eukaryota; Metazoa; Chordata; Mammalia; Primates; Hominidae
Description: non-protein coding lnc-CALML4-6:1
Source: RNAcentral
GAGGCUGAGGCAUGAGAACCACUUGAGCCCAGGAGGUGGAGGUUGCAGUGAGCCAAGAUUGCACCACUGCACUAUAGCCUGGGCAACAGAGUGAAACUCUGUCUCCAAAAACAAUAAAUAAAAUAAAAUAAAUAGGCUGAGGACAGUGACUCACACCUGCAAUCCUAGCACUUUGGGAGGCUGAGGCGGGUGGAUCACAAGGUCAGGAGAUCCAGAACAUCUUGGCUAACAUCUUGGCUAAACCCCACCUCUACGA